UACGUAGGGGGCAAGCGUUGUCCGGAAUCAUUGGGCGUAAAGCGCGUGUAGGCGGUCCGGUAAGUCCGCUGUGAAAGUCGGGGGCUUAACCCUCGGAUGCCGGUGGAUACUGUCGGGCUUGAGUACGGAAGAGGCGAGUGGAAUUCCCGGUGUAGCGGUGAAAUGCGCAGAUAUCGGGAGGAACACCAAUUGCGAAGGCAGCUCGCUGGGACGUCACUGACGCUGAGACGCGAAAGCGUGGGGAGCAAACAGG
RNAcentral lists this ribosomal RNA (253 nucleotides) under uncultured bacterium. RNAcentral describes it as "partial 16S ribosomal RNA". It matches the Rfam family "Bacterial small subunit ribosomal RNA", at positions 524 to 776 of the family's 1533-position model. The record is from RNAcentral.